This 6715-nucleotide long non-coding RNA is filed under the name Sus scrofa (pig). Its description in RNAcentral is "lncRNA (ENSSSCG00005029182.1)". Lineage: Eukaryota; Metazoa; Chordata; Mammalia; Artiodactyla; Suidae. The record is from RNAcentral.
UUUUUUUUUUUUUUUUUUUUUGCUAUGACAUUUGAAAUUGUUUCCUAUUUUUACUUCUUGAGAAAAGGACAUGUUUGGCUGUUAUUUACCAAAAACACAUGUGAGGCUGAGAGUCUAAACGCACGCCAGAGAUUUGUUUUGCUAUUAUGAUUCACUGUCUGGUUAAUGCAUGCUAUAAUUGUCCAUAUUUAUACACAUAUCAUGGCCUUUUGUAAUCAAGGAUGAUACUCUGGAUAGCAUACGUUCUUAAACUGGGGUGUGAGCAAAGGAAUUUUUUUUACCAUCCCUGCCCGUUUAGGUAAACAGUCUGAACUUUGGAGUCUGGAGUGACCGUUUGAAAUACGUGACCUCCAAAAUUCUGCAUUUUUUUCUUUUGUCUCCUGGCAACAAAACGUAUUUAUAAUUUGGCCACCACCUCCUCAUCUCGAAAGGUCUGCUGCUGUUUUAAAGUUUAAAACAACAUUUGGGCACGUUGUCCCGAAUGAGGAUAUUGGUGUCCUUUUCUGUGUGCAGAGACAGACAAUAACAAUUCUGAAUACAAAUACAACAAUGAAAACAGAACCCUUCUCUUGGCAGAGUAACGAGCAUGCAACUUUAGUUUUAAAAAUAGCCCUCGAGGAGUUCUCUCCUUAUAAUGUCAUUUUCAUUAAGCUCUUUUUCACAGUUUCUUUGCCAAAAGACAUGGAGGUCAAGUUGGGGGUGCGGUUAGAAGGGGGUUGGAAGCAAGUUUAAGGCAAAGCUUCAGGAGGGUGCAUGCCAGUGGGGACUGCAGAAACCUCAGGUCUUUCCAUCUGAAAUUGGCGGUCCCUGUGGGCUCCUCCUGUAGAGAAUCACAGAAUAACCGGGCUCUUGGCUGAGCUCCCACUGGCUGCUUCUGAGAUCCUGCAAAGUCAGAGUUCUCCUCUCUCUCCGCUUUGCCUCUCCAGCCCCACCUCCCACUUUGAGGCAACCUGGACUGGGUCUUGAUAUGAUUGGCAUUUCACAGCUUGUCCUCUGGGGUUAUAAUUUCAAGUACUUCACAUCAAAGGUGUUGGCAUGAAGGGCACCUUAAAGUGAGUCAGACUCAGCACUGCUGCCGUACUGAGCUGGAUAAUUCUUUGUUUUGCGGUGGGGGGGGGGACCACAUUGGAGCAUCCUUGGCUUCUACUUCCAGGUGGCAGCAAACUACCCAUCCCUCCCCCUGCGGCAAUCACAAAUGUCCCUAGUCAUUGCUCAAUAUCCCCUGGGGGGAGCGGGAAUCACCCCCAAUUGAGAACCAUUGAGUCGCUGCAAGGAAAACUCAUCUUUCUUUGGCAUCUCUGAUACAGGCUAGAUGUUUGUGUCAUCCUAAUAAUUAUCUUUUGGAGUCUUACCUCCUUUUUACAGUCUGGGAACCUGAGAGGUGACAAGGAUAGUGUUGUUUUUCGGUUUUGUUUUAUUUUUGUUGUUGUCGUUCCAGCUUUAUUUUCCAGUUCUCGACAGUGAAAACACGUUAUAACUGGAAAAAUGGUUCUCAAUUACUCCCAGAAAUUUGUACCUCAACUAUCCCCACGCCUAUUUUUCUUUUUUUGGCUUUUUAGGGCUGCACCCUCGGAUUCAUUAACCACCGAGCCACGACGGGUACUCUGCCAGUAUCUUUUCAAAUUAUGGCUUUGUCCGGAUAGAUGCCCUGGAGUGGGAUUGCUGGAUCCUGUGGUAAUUCUAUACUUUGUUUUUUAAGGAACCUCCAUAGUGGUUGUACCAAUUAACAUGCCCAUCAAGAUUAUAAGAGGCUCCCUUUUCUCCACAUCCUCUCCAGCACUUGUUAUUUGUGGCAUUUAUUAAUAAUGGCCAUUCUGACUGGUGUGAGGUAAACCUCAUUGCAGUCGCCACAUUCUGCUAAGUCUCGUACAUGACUGUGCCCACUUAUACUCCCACCUGCAACGCAAGGGAGUCUGGUUGCUCUGCACCAGAUAUUGACACACCGUCUCUGUGCAGGACCGAAGAGGAAAGAUUUAAGCCUUGAUGUGACACACAGUCUCUGUCACAGCUAUUCAACUCUGCUGUUGUAGCAUGGAAACAGCCUUGGACAGUUCCUAAGUGAAGGAGCCUGACGAUAUUCGAAUAACCUUUAUUCAAGGACACUGAAAUUUGAACUUUGUCAUUUUCAUGUGCCACAAAACAAUUCUUUUGAUUGUUUUCAAUGAUUUAAAAAUAGAGAACACAGUCUUGCAGGUUAUACAAAACAGAUGGCUGGAGAGAUUUGGGACCAGGUCACAGUUGGCCAUCCUUUGCUUGACAUCCUCUUCCAGAUCUGGAAUUUUCAGAAACCGUAAUCUACUAGGUGUGAAAUGGUAAAUUGUGUAUUUACUUCAUGCUCCUGAUUAUUAGUGAAGUCAAGCAUUUGACCAUGUUUAUUGGCCACUAGACUUUUCUGUUCCAUGACUUAUCUCUUCAUGGUUUCCCCCCCCCUUUUUUUUUAAGAUUAUGGGUCUUUCAUUUAUCGACUUAGGAGUUCUUUCUAUUUUCUGGCUGGGCAUCCUUUAUUUGUAUGCUUUGCAAGUCUCAGAGUGUUGUCCAUUUCCCUUUUGCAAAGUAUCUUUUGAUGCAAUGUUUUCCAGUGAAAAUUAGAUGUAGCCAAAUCAUACUUAUUUGACGGUGAAAACCCAUGUUUAUUUUUCAUACGCUUUGAGAAGGUGGAAGGAAGCUACCACUUUCCUGGAUGGGGGAAAGAGGAAGUAUUUCUGGAUUGGGUGGAAGUGGAAGAAUGUCCCUCACUUUGACACCAGGCUCUUUUUCAGGCCAGUCAUUUUCUUGAAGGCGAACAGUGUUGCAAUCUGCAGUUCUCUGGUGAAAACGCUGUGUUUAGUGGAGGUCAGUGCUGGCCAAAGACGGGCAUCUGAUACUCAUGAAAUGUUAACUUGGCUUUCCCAGCAAGUUGGCGGGCAUCUCACUUCCAAGCCAGCUGACGUCAUUCAGAGUAGAAAAAGACCCUCCCACACGGCCUUGGUAAUUGACUCUGAUGGGCUCCUCUGCCAGCCUAAGUGGUUCUGGAACAGAGAGAACUGUUGUCAUCUGAAGAACUUUCGAAAGUCACGCCAGCCCAGACCGCACCUCCCCCGCCCCCCACUACACACAGACACUCAAGCCAGCGAGGGAAAGAAAAGCAGUUGAAAUGCUGGUCAGCAAAACCCGCCUUGGCUGCCUUAAGCUUUGUUCCUGAGCUCUCGCUCUGUGAAGGCUGUUUUCCUCUGGAGAGAGCUGGAACCGGGCUGUCAUGUUUGACAGACGCCUCCUGUCGCCUCAAACUAAGGGCAUCCUUCCUGGGGUAAGCUCGUGGGCAGAGAGGCAGACCAGACGCCCGGUGUGGUUGAAAGAAAAGAGGAAGGUACUGAAUGGUUAAGGAAUGCAAGCUCCCAUCACAUCCGCGACUUCACGUUGCUUCCACUUUUCUCGUCUGGCCAGAAAGGUUGUCAUUCAGAGCGUGCAUCCCUAGCCUGAUCAGAGAAGGUGGAGCAAGUAAAACUGUAGCUUGGGUUUUCAGCUGUGUCUCACUGAGAUCGAUUCGGUAGCUGUAGCCUGGGUUUUAAACUCGGUCUCACUGAGAUUGAUUCGGUAGCUGGGGGGGUGGGGGGAGGGAGAGAGAGGCAGAGAAGCGUGGUGGAAAAUGGAAAUGCUCUUUCCAGCUGCAGAUGGACACUUGUCGCAUCGUGGACAGCUUGGCCCCUGAGCUUUUUUGUUUCUGAGGCCUUUCUGUGACAGUCUGCAUGAUGUGACCUCCUGUGUUGCUGCAAAUUCAGAUUUAAUAACUCUUUGUCACACUGAAUUUUUUUUUAAUUUCAUGAAAUACGGACAUGAGAGUCUCAUGUGGAAAAGACUGAAGCAUAAAGCUUUACUUCACGAUGAUUGGAUGUUUGGGUCUUUGAGUUUGGUUUAGAACUUUUAAAGGAAAGAUCAUAUUGUUUGUGCUCUUCCAGGGAAGGCUUUGGAAAGAAAAGUCAUAAUUCCAGAACCCAGAUGUCAAUCGUAGUCUAUAAAAACCAUCAGGUUACGGGUAUCUGUGCUAAUAGGACAGGAAAAUCUCAUUUUAGAAUCAAUAAAGUCCAGCUUGUCUAAAAAUUCUUCUCAGGUUACCUCUUUCAUUUCCAGUUGUGCCAACCUGCCCUAAAUUUAGUUUCACAGAGGGGUAGAAAAUGCUUGCCAAGAAAUAUCUGUGGUUUGGUCCUCAUUUGUUCUGUGUCAUAUCAAAUAAAAGUGUGGCACAAUCAGUAAAUAGUGAGAUGCUUUGCUUAAUCCAUUGGAUUUCAGUGAGCUUUUAUUACUUUUCAUUUUAUUUUUUUGAAAUGUAUUUUAUUGAAGGAGAGUUGAUUUACAGUGUUAUGUUAAUCUCUGCUGUACAGCAAGGUGAUUCAGUUAUACACAUAUGUAUGUAUAUACAUUCUUUUUCAGAUUCUUUUCCAUUAUGGUUUUAUCACAGGGUAUUGAAUAUAGUUCCCCGUGCUUGACAGUAAGACCGUGUGGUUUAUCCAUUUUAUGUGUGUGUGUGCGUGUGAGUAUACAUGUGUCAUAUAUGUAUGACUAUACAUUUAAAAAUUUCCUCCCCAAAUUUAAAAAUUCUAAGAAGAAAUUUUAGAAUGUGCAAUUUUCCUGGCUUGGGUUAGCCCCCAGUAGACUUUGUACACCUCAGUGCUAUUUCUUUAGGCUCUGAAUACACUAAUUAUAAAGGAUUACUGGGUGUUGGAUACUUGACGUUUCUAAGGUUUUCAGUUGCCACUCACGUUUAAUUUGAAAAUUGUUCAGUACCUGUUUGUUUCGAAGGACAUCUGGAGUCAUCAUUUUCCAUAAACUUGGCUGCUUUCUAAGAAUAUUAUCAGACACUCAGUAACUGCUCUAGUAGUUUCUGCAAAGAAAUUCUAUUAUGAAUCAGAAAAAUGUUUAAACCAUAACCCAAAUUGCCCAGGAUCCAAAUUGCUACCAAUCAUUUUGAAUAUCUUCAGCUGUGAAAUUGGGCACAAUGUCACAGUUUUUUUUUAUUGGAAUGUCAGGCUGUAUGAUUCUAGAAUAGUUACUUGAAUAAUUUCUCCUUUAGUUAAUUUCAGUUGUCUUAAAGAAUUAGAAUCUGCACAAGAAUGUGUACCCUUUUAAGCUACCUCCUCUUUAGCAAUCCUUGAUUUUUAUAUCCUAAAGCCUAGUCACGCAUCUUAACUAACACUUGUGUUUGAAUCGGGCUGAUAAAUACAUGGAUUUUUAUUUUUUUUAUUUAUUUAUUUAUUUUUGGAUUUUUAUUUUAAUGGGUAAGGUUUAAAUUAAAUCUUUAUGGGAGUUCCCAUUGUGGCUCAGUGGUAACGAACCCACCUAGUAUCCUUGAGGAUGCAGGUUCGAUCCCUGGCCCCACUUAGUGGGUUAAGGAUCUGAUGUUGCUGUGAGCUGUGGUAUAGGUUGCAGACGCAGCUCAGAUCAGGUGUCACGGUGCCUGGGAACUUCCAUAUGCCACACGUGUGGCCCUGAAAAAAAAUUACUUAAAUAAUAAAUAAAUAAAAUCUUUAUAAAGAUUAUAAAGAUUUUAUUCUAAAGAAUUAAGAGGUAUUAACCCAGUUAUAAAAUAAGUAAGUCACAGGGGUGUAAGGUACAGUAUAGGGAAUAUGGUCAGGAUUUUAUGGUAUGUAAUUUAUAAAAAUAUCCAAUCACUGUGUUGUGCACCUGAAACUAAGAUAACAUUUUAAGUCAACUAUACCUCAAUAAAUAUUUUAUUCUGUUGUCAUUUAACACGUUCAUCUAGUCAUUCUCAAAGUUCUCCAAUGAUGGAAAUUUUUCUUUCAACCUGGACAAUAAUAUAAAUGGAGUGAAUUUUUUUCAGUACAUAAAUAUAUAUGUAUAUUUAUGUGUAUAUAUGUGUGUAUAUACAUAUGUAUUUAUGUGUAUGUGUUUUAUGUAUUUAUGUAUUUAUUUAUGUGUUUAUUUGUGUAUAUGUGUGUACAUACAUAUGUAUUUAUGUGUAUGUAUUUAUGUGUUUUAUGUAUUCAUAAAAAGCACACUAGGAAAUUAUACAUUUAAUGUGCACCUUGCAUUAAAAUCAAAUGGAUACACCAAUGAAAUUUAGUAGAGGUAAUUACUUUUUCAUCUCCAAGGGCAAAAAACAUAUGACUGUGACUAAUACGAAGUAUGCGUGUUAUCUUUUUGUGAAUGCUUGUGUUGUUGUAUUGUAAGUCUCUUCAGCAUAAUAUCCUUGAUGACUAUCAUUAUGUGUGUGUGUCAUUAUUCUUAGACAAAGGUGGCCAGUCCCUCUUCCUCCUCUCCUUCCUCCAAAAAAAAAAAAAAAAAAAAAACCCGAAAAAUGAUCUCUUAGAUUCGUGCAGGUUUUUCCAUUUAUUUACCUUUGUUACUCAUGAUUCCAGCUUUUUCUGACCGUGGUUAAGGGCUGGUGUUUGAAUACAGUGAGACCUGACCUUAAAUACUAUACCAUCCCCUUCAUAACUCUGGGAUUUGGCAAGCUUUCUCUUCUCUGAGUCUCGGUUUCAUUGUUUGUAAAACUAGACAUAACAGUAUCUGGGAGUUCCUGUUGCGACUCAGCAGGUUAAGAACCCACCAUAGUAUGAAUGAGGAUGCAGGUUUGAUCCCUGUCCUCGCUCAGUGGGUUAAGGAGCCAGUGUUGCAACCAACUGCAGCAUAGGUCACAGAUGCGGCUCAGAUCCGAUGUUGCUGUGGCUGGGAUGUAGGACAGCAGCUGCAGCUCUCAUUCAGCCCCUAGCCUGGGAAU